This 63-nucleotide transfer RNA is filed under the name Bimastos welchi. RNAcentral describes it as "partial tRNA-Ser". Lineage: Eukaryota; Metazoa; Annelida; Clitellata; Crassiclitellata; Lumbricidae. The record is from RNAcentral.
GGUUUGAUGUUUUGGAAACACUAGACCUUGAACGUCCAAUUAAGAUGUUCGAAUCAUCUUCAA